AGCUGAAACGUCUUGCGAGCUGAGUCAGGGUCGGGGAAGCUGUGAUGGCAAUGAGAAGUCAACACACUGAGGAUGGAGAGAAAGAAGAUGAGUCUGGGAGAGAAAGAGAAUGAUUCUUCUGGCCGAGGGAAAGCAAGAAUAUCUGUUCCUGCAACUGCACUGAUUCUAGAAACACUCUCUAUUCGAACUCUCAUGAGGUGCUGACCUGCUUGGUGAAUGCUGGGAUCUCUGGAAGAGGGAGGCAGACAUCACACACCAGCUGGCAAGUGGGAGCUGGCAUGCAACAUGCCCCAAUACCACUCCCCUCCUGCCAUCCCUAUCUCCUAAUGGUGCCUCCUUUUGGCCAAACCCACCUUUGGCUGGAGGGCAACAGAGCCCAUUGACGUGGUCCCCUUGCAUCUGCUACCUGGGGAGAAAAGCAGGAUGGACACUGAAUCUAGAGAAAUGAAGAAACCCAUCCAGAAGAAUACUGCUUCUUUAUGUUUUUGUAGGUGUACAAAUCAGGCCUCCCCAUGAUAUUCUAAACUCCUUGAGGAAAGAAGUGGAGUCCUGGGCUUCUGAUGUAGCCUCCACAGUGCUCAGGGGAUAGCGACACUGGCACCCUAUAGAUAUUUAAUUACAUGUGGACUGGAAGAGACCAAACAGCUUCCUGGUAUUUCAAUCAAACCCGGUGCUCUAGACCUGUGGCUCACUCUGAGCAAACUAUAAUGAGUUGAACUUGAAUCUGAUUCCUGCUAAGAAAGGUUUCAUUUUAAUAGGCAGUAAGGCUAUGAGCUAACACCAGAAUUCAUUCGAGUUACUAGACUCACUGAAACUCCUCACAGGAUCCAUCUUUCAUGUUUUCUAGAUUUUGGUAUUCUUAUCUAAACUGCAGACCCAGAAACCCUAUGGACCCUACCUUUCCAAUUAUAUUUCUGGGAAGAGUCAUUCUCUGCAGAGCUGAAGCAUGUAACAGAAAGUUCUCAACCUGAAAAAUAUACCUUCUGCGCCCAAGCCCCACUUUCUGCCACUAUUUGGUAAUCUCAAGUGGGUGAGGUGGUCUCUGAACUUCAGCGCUCUCAUGGUCAGAGCCACAAGGGGUUACUGGGAGGCUAAAGGGAAGUGGCAAACGUGGCUGAGAUUCAGAAAGAAAAGCAGCAAGUGUAGAGAGGCAAGGACUUUUCCAUCUUUUAAAUUCCUUAAAGGAAGCCAAAGUUCAUUUUCCAGUCUCCUUCAGAUGCCUCUCCAAUCCUUCACAGCAGCGCACACAUACCGCAGAAGGAACUCACCAUCACAAAAAGAUGACAGAGCACUGGGGGCUGGGGUGCCACUUGUGUUGGCUGAGAGCCUGGAUGCAUGUGAGGUCAAGCCUGACCUUGGGAAAGCUGCUCUCUGGACAUUACUUGCUGUGCCACAUACACAGCUUGGGUUUCUGAGGAAACAACACAGGCUCUAAGGAGGAACUGGAACGGGGCCCAGGGUAUAUCUUUUACAGCCCGUACUUUUGAGGAAAAUAGAAGACAAAAGGUUUUUAAAAAACACAAAGUGUAUACACGUAUACACAAAGUUUACAAGUUUGUGUGUUUUAACAUCUACUCUCCUUAAGAACAAGUAGACAGGAAAGAUAUUACCUGAUAUGGGUUAAAUUGUGUCCCCAAAAACAUGUUUUGAAGUGCUAACCUUUGGUACCUGUGGAUAUGACCUUACUUGGAAAUAGGUUUUUGCAGACGUAACCAAGUUAAGAUGAGGUCAUAUUUGAUUAGGCUGAACCCUGAAUCCAGUAUGACUGGGGUCCUUAUAUAAACAAGAGAGACACACGCAGAGUGAAGAUGAUGUGUUGAAACACAGGAACAGUGUCAUGGGAUGCUGGGGACAGCAGUUGGAGUGAUGCAUCUAUGGGCCAAGGGAAUGCCAAGGAUUGCCAGCCAUCACCAGGACAGAAGCAUGGGUACUGAUGCCCUCACAGAGCCCUUGAAGAGAGUCAACCCUGCUGACACCUUGAUUUCAGACUUCCAGCCUCCAGAACUGUGAGAGAAUAAAUUUCCGUUGUCUUAAGUCACCCAGUUUGUAGCACUUUAUUAUGGCAGCCCUGGGAAACUAACACACUACCCUUAUUUUCAUGCUGAGGAAUGUAAGAUAGUUUUAGGCACCACCUGCUUCUAUACAAGUUUUAUGAUCUCUCCUCCUAAUACUGCAGAAAUUAUGGGUUUUACCAUCUUAGUAUAUAGCAUAAUAUAUCCAGCACACGUUAUAUAUUUAGCACUUUAUUAGAGUACCCCGGUUUGCUCUUCUGAAAAACUGUGAGGCUGGAUUUGAUGCUUUCUAAGGCUUUUUUUUCCCUAUGUAUUCUCUGAUCAGAAUACCCUGCUCAACGAAGCCGCUGGUAAUGAAGCUCAUUAAAAAUGAAAUCACUUAGGUAGGGAGUUGGAGAGUGACUCAUUUAAAACAUUGCCUCCUGGAAACUGAAAUUCAUUGAACACAAAAGCUUUUGGAGGGACUCAGAUUGGUAGGGACUCUGCAGUCUGACAAAAGGGUCUGGUGACAGGGGGCAUCUGAUCCCAUCUAGGGAGGGUAGGGAGAGGGAGUCCGGAGAGGGAUGCAUAAACAAGCCUUCUUCAGACAUGCUACCUAUGCCUCUCCCAUGGCUCCUGCAUGCUUGGAUGUUACGCUUCUUUAAAGAGCAGGUGACAGGUUGCCCCUGGGACGCUCAGAGCCAGGCAAGGUGGGACUUGGCCCUGCUCCCCCUUCUUCUAUCUGAAAAGUUGCCCUUAGUCCCACGGGGCCCCUUCCUGUCACACCGACACAGCUUGCUGGUUUUUGUUUUCUUUCACUGUCCUUUUUCUUUUUUCAGAAGUUCCUCACAGGAAGUGUUUGGCAGGCAGCUCAGGCCCCUGCUGAGAUGGAGAAUCUAGCAAACCUGUCCCGCUGAUUGAUUAAACACUGAGGAGGCUCCAAGACCCAAGCGUGAAAUUCCUUGGCUCUGAUUGUGCUAAGGGUAGAGCUCACUAAUGAAUGGAGUCUGAUUACAGCCCAGCCUCUCCAGUGCCUCCUGUUGCCCCAAUUUGGGGGAUUCUUCUGCUUCGAGUACAUCAUGGAAAGCAGCACAGAGUUCUCAGCAGGAUCUGCGAUGUCUGAUCCAAGAAAGAUUUUUGUUGUUGUCGUCAUUGUUGUUUUUUAAUCCUGAUCAUUGCUCUCAAACCCUUCUCUACACAGCUUGGCGUGGGGGGUAGUUGAUUUCCAGUGAAACCGGGUGGAAGCAGUGCCACUGCCACCUGUGAGGAGGAAAUGGGCAACAGUCGGCUUCAUCCGUCCUGAACGCUCAGGCCUGAAUGUUCCAAACUGAUGCUAAACUGAGACUCUCUGAAGGCCCAUGGGGAAGCCUGGCAUUGUGUAGCCAUUUCUUCCAGCAAGGCUCUCCCCUCACAUUCACAGCCUGCCACUUAAAGCUUUGGGAGACAAUGUAGUUGACCUGUAGUUCUUCCUGUAUGUGGCUCCUGGUCAGUCACUGGGCAAGGAGGAGGCUGCAGGCAUUGUGCUAUCCCCUUAUCUCUCUCUCUGUCUGUCUCUUAUCUAGUUCAAAUCAGCAAAUGGAGCUUGGUCCUUCGUUUGUAAAGUAAGGGGGUGGAAAAUUAUCCCUAAGUUACCUCCUGGUUUAGAAAAGUCUUAAUGCUGUUUUAUAAUAACUCACCCACCUCUCCUCUUCCAUGAGCUCAGAGCGGCCCAGCCCUUGGAAUGUGUUUCUGCCACGACAAGGAAUACAGGAGGAGUUGAACAGGAAACCUGCCUCCUAUCAGAUUCACCUGAGGACGUGCAGGUGAGAUCGGCACUGGCUCCAAGGAAGAGGUUUUCCAUGCAGAUGUGGAAACUGCCAAAAGACCUUGGAUGUGAGCUGCCACCUGCUGCUGGAAAGAUGUGGAGAGAACUUGGAUUCAGGAAGAGAGCUGCUUCUUCCCUCCUCCCAUAUCCCAGUUUCUUGCCGUGCUUUCCAUUGGCAUACCCUAACUGAAAGCCACUGGCAAGAGACUUGCAGAAAUUAACUUUCCAGAGUCUCAGGCCCUCUAGAUUACAGAGAAGAGGACGGAAGAGAGGGAAUGGGGCCUGAGACAAAUACCUUCAUAGUGUUCUUCCUAAAAUGUAAAACCAAUAAUUGAAAACUAAACUCUACAUAAGA
Molecule: long non-coding RNA, 4150 nt
Filed under: Homo sapiens (human)
Lineage: Eukaryota; Metazoa; Chordata; Mammalia; Primates; Hominidae
Description: long intergenic non-protein coding RNA 1630
Source: RNAcentral